UUUGACGUUAGCGACAGAAGAAGCACCGGCUAACUCCGUGCCAGCAGCCGCGGUAAUACGGAGGGUGCGAGCGUUAAUCGGAAUUACUGGGCGUAAAGCGCAUGCAGGUGGUUUGUUAAGUCAGAUGUGAAAGCCCGGGGCUCAACCUCGGAAUUGCAUUUGAAACUGGCAGACUAGAGUACUGUAGAGGGGGGUAGAAUUUCAGGUGUAGCGGUGAAAUGCGUAGAGAUCUGAAGGAAUACCGGUGGCGAAGGCGGCCCCCUGGACAGAUACUGACACUCAGAUGCGAAAGCGUGGGGAGCAAACAGGAUUAGAUACCCUGGUAGUCCACGCCGUAAACGAUGUCUACUUGGAGGUUGUGGCCUUGAGCCGUGGCUUUCGGAGCUAACGCGUUAAGUAGACCGCCUGGGGAGUACGGUCGCAAGAUUAAAACUCAAAUGAAUUGACGGGGGCCCGCACAAGCGGUGGAGCAUGUGGUUUAAUUCGAUGCAACGCGAAGAACCUUACCUACUCUUGACAUCCAGAGAACUUUCCAGAGAUGGAUUGGUGCCUUCGGGAACUCUGAGACAGGUGCUGCAUGGCUGUCGUCAGCUCGUGUUGUGAAAUGUUGGGUUAAGUCCCGCAACGAGCGCAACCCUUAUCCUUGUUUGCCAGCGAGUAAUGUCGGGAACUCCAGGGAGACUGCCGGUGAUAAACCGGAGGAAGGUGGGGACGACGUCAAGUCAUCAUGGCCCUUACGAGUAGGGCUACACACGUGCUACAAUGGCGCAUACAGAGGGCGGCCAACUUGCGAAAGUGAGCGAAUCCCAAAAAGUGCGUCGUAGUCCGGAUUGGAGUCUGCAACUCGACUCCAUGAAGUCGGAAUCGCUAGUAAUCGUGGAUCAGAAUGCCACGGUGAAUACGUUCCCGGGCCUUGUACACACCGCCCGUCACACCAUGGGAGUGGGCUGCAAAAGAAGUAGGUAGUUUAACCUUCGGGGGGACGCUUACCACUUUGUGGUUCAUGACUGGGGUGAAGUCGUAACAAGGUAGCGCUAGGGGAACCUGGCGCUGGAUCACCUCCUUA
Molecule: ribosomal RNA, 1066 nt
Filed under: Vibrio parahaemolyticus
Lineage: Bacteria; Pseudomonadati; Pseudomonadota; Gammaproteobacteria; Vibrionales; Vibrionaceae
Description: bacterial SSU rRNA
Rfam family: Bacterial small subunit ribosomal RNA
Source: RNAcentral